This 482-nucleotide ribosomal RNA is filed under the name uncultured bacterium. Its description in RNAcentral is "partial 16S ribosomal RNA". It matches the Rfam family "Bacterial small subunit ribosomal RNA", at positions 899 to 1397 of the family's 1533-position model. The record is from RNAcentral.
ACUCAAAUGAAUUGACGGGGACCCGCACAAGCGGUGGAGCGUGUUCUUUAAUUCGAAGGUAAGCGAAGAACCUUACCAGGGUUUGACAUCCCGGUGCAAUCUACGAAAGUAGACUUCAUUUAGUUGGUCGGUGACAGGUGAUGCAUGGCCGUCGUCAGCUCGUGUCGUGAGAUGUUUGGUUAAGUCCAUCAACGAGCGCAACCCUUGUAUCCAGUUGGAUUUUUCUGGAUAAACUGCCCCGGUAACGGGGAGGAAGGAGGGGAUGAUGUCAGGUCAGUAUUUCCCUUACAUCCUGGGCUAGAAACACGCUACAAUGGCCAGUACAAAGGGCAGCCAAGGCGCGAGCCGGAGCAAAUCCCAUCAAAGCUGGUCUCAGUUCGGAUAGCAGGCUGAAACUCGCCUGCUUGAAGUCGGAAUCGCUAGUAACGGUGAGUCAGCACAUCACCGUGAAUACGUUCCCGGGUCUUGUACACACCGCCCGU